RNAcentral lists this ribosomal RNA (901 nucleotides) under uncultured Campylobacterota bacterium. Its description in RNAcentral is "bacterial SSU rRNA". It matches the Rfam family "Bacterial small subunit ribosomal RNA", at positions 32 to 944 of the family's 1533-position model. The record is from RNAcentral. Lineage: Bacteria; Pseudomonadati; Campylobacterota.
GACGCUGGCGGCGUGCCUAACACAUGCAAGUCGAACGAGAACGGAUAUUAGCUUGCUAAUAUUGUCAGCUAAGUGGCGCACGGGUGAGUAAUAUAUAGUUAAUCUGCCCCAAAGAAGAGAAUAAUUGUUGGAAACGACUUGUAAUGCUCUAUAUGCCUUUAUUACAUAAGUAAGCAAGGGAAACAUUUAUGGCUUUGGGAUGAGACUGUACGGUAUCAGCUAGUUGGUGAGGUAAUGGCUCACCAAGGCAAUGACAUCUAACUGGUUUGAGAGGAUGAUCAGUCACACUGGAACUGAGACACGGUCCAGACUCCUACGGGAGGCAGCAGUGGGGAAUAUUGCACAAUGGAGGAAACUCUGAUGCAGCAACGCCGCGUGGAGGAUGACACAUUUCGGUGCGUAAACUCCUUUUAUAUGAGAAGAUAAUGACGGUAUCAUAUGAAUAAGCACCGGCUAACUCCGUGCCAGCAGCCGCGGUAAUACGGGGGGUGCAAGCGUUACUCGGAAUCACUGGGCGUAAAGAGCAUGUAGGCUGGUUUGUAAGUUGGAAGUGAAAUCCUAUGGCUUAACCAUAGAACUGCUUCCAAAACUGCAGACCUAGAAUAUGGGAGAGGUAGAUGGAAUUUCUGGUGUAGGGGUAAAAUCCGUAGAGAUCAGAAGGAAUACCGAUUGCGAAGGCGAUCUACUGGAACAUUAUUGACGCUGAGAUGCGAAAGCGUGGGGAGCAAACAGGAUUAGAUACCCUGGUAGUCCACGCCCUAAACGAUGCACACUAGUUGUUGCCUUGCUAGACAAGGCAGUAAUGCAGUUAACACAGUAAGUGUGCCGCCUGGGGAGUACGGUCGCAAGAUUAAAACUCAAAGGAAUAGACGGGGACCCGCACAAGCGGUGGAGCAUGUGG